This 102-nucleotide small nuclear RNA is filed under the name Chinchilla lanigera (long-tailed chinchilla). Lineage: Eukaryota; Metazoa; Chordata; Mammalia; Rodentia; Chinchillidae. The record is from RNAcentral.
GUGCUUACUUUGGCAGCACAUAUACUAAAACUGGGACAGAGACGAUUAGCAUGGACACGAUGCAAGGAUGACCCGCAAAUUCGUGAAGUGUUCCAUAUUUAA